RNAcentral lists this ribosomal RNA (306 nucleotides) under Glomus sp. (unid). Lineage: Eukaryota; Fungi; Glomeromycota; Glomeromycetes; Glomerales; Glomeraceae. The record is from RNAcentral.
CAGUCGUACCUGCGGACAAUCAGCUUUUUAAGUGUGAUUAUGUGGAUUGUGAGGAGUUUAAUCACCCUCAUGUUUUACGUAUUCGUGCUCUUGGGUGUACUUGCCCGUGUGGUAGGUUAACAUCAAUUUUGGUCGUCAUAAAAUGACUGGAGGAAUGUAGCUUCGAUCUUGUAUUGAAGUGUUAUAGACUCUGGUAGAUGGUGACGAUUGGGGAAUUGAGGAUUGCAACGGAUACCUCGGGGCUACUCGUCUGAUCUCUGAAGGUUGCUCCGGUGCCGAAAGCGUGCUUACGGUCAUCGAAAGUGA